Molecule: unclassified non-coding RNA, 244 nt
Filed under: Hevea brasiliensis (rubber tree)
Lineage: Eukaryota; Viridiplantae; Streptophyta; Magnoliopsida; Malpighiales; Euphorbiaceae
Source: RNAcentral
AAAUACACUAUUUAGUCCCUAUAUAUUGUUUUUAUUAAACUGUUUAGUCUGUCCCACAAUUUAUUUUUGUUAAUCAAUACUAGUCAAAUUACUAUAUAGUUUCUCUAUUUUAGUGAAACUAAUUAGCUAAUCUAUAUAUUUUGGAAAAACACAUUAGUUGAUUCAUAUAAUUUGACUCUGUUAAUUAUUUAAUACUGUAAUUUUUUUUACACCUAAACUACUAUAUUUCUUUCUCCUCUUAUUU